This 1372-nucleotide ribosomal RNA is filed under the name uncultured bacterium. RNAcentral's name for it is "bacterial SSU rRNA". It matches the Rfam family "Bacterial small subunit ribosomal RNA", at positions 28 to 1381 of the family's 1533-position model. The record is from RNAcentral.
GAUGAACGCUGGCGGCGUGCCUAAUACAUGCAAGUCGAGCGAACGGACGAGAAGCUUGCUUCUCUGAUGUUAGCGGCGGACGGGUGAGUAACACGUGGAUAACCUACCUAUAAGACUGGGAUAACUUCGGGAAACCGGAGCUAAUACCGGAUAAUAUUUUGAACCGCAUGGUUCAAAAGUGAAAGACGGUCUUGCUGUCACUUAUAGAUGGAUCCGCGCUGCAUUAGCUAGUUGGUAAGGUAACGGCUUACCAAGGCAACGAUGCAUAGCCGACCUGAGAGGGUGAUCGGCCACACUGGAACUGAGACACGGUCCAGACUCCUACGGGAGGCAGCAGUAGGGAAUCUUCCGCAAUGGGCGAAAGCCUGACGGAGCAACGCCGCGUGAAUGAUGAAGGUCUUCGGAUCGUAAAACUCUGUUAUUAGGGAAGAACAUAUGUGUAAGUAACUGUGCACAUCUUGACGGUACCUAAUCAGAAAGCCACGGCUAACUACGUGCCAGCAGCCGCGGUAAUACGUAGGUGGCAAGCGUUAUCCGGAAUUAUUGGGCGUAAAGCGCGCGUAGGCGGUUUUUUAAGUCUGAUGUGAAAGCCCACGGCUCAACCGUGGAGGGUCAUUGGAAACUGGAAAACUUGAGUGCAGAAGAGGAAAGUGGAAUUCCAUGUGUAGCGGUGAAAUGCGCAGAGAUAUGGAGGAACACCAGUGGCGAAGGCGACUUUCUGGUCUAUAACUGACGCUGAUGUGCGAAAGCGUGGGGAUCAAACAGGAUUAGAUACCCUGGUAGUCCACGCCGUAAACGAUGAGUGCUAAGUGUUAGGGGGUUUCCGCCCCUUAGUGCUGCAGCUAACGCAUUAAGCACUCCGCCUGGGGAGUACGACCGCAAGGUUGAAACUCAAAGGAAUUGACGGGGACCCGCACAAGCGGUGGAGCAUGUGGUUUAAUUCGAAGCAACGCGAGGAACCUUACCAAAUCUUGACAUCCUUUGACAACUCUAGAGAUAGAGCUUUCCCCUUCGGGGGACAAAGUGACAGGUGGUGCAUGGUUGUCGUCAGCUCGUGUCGUGAGAUGUUGGGUUAAGUCCCGCAACGAGCGCAACCCUUAAGCUUAGUUGCCAUCAUUAAGUUGGGCACUCUAAGUUGACUGCCGGUGACAAACCGGAGGAAGGUGGGGAUGACGUCAAAUCAUCAUGCCCCUUAUGAUUUGAGCUACACACGUGCUACAAUGGACAAUACAAAGGGCAGCGAAACCGCGAGGUCAAGCAAAUCCCAUAAAGUUGUUCUCAGUUCGGAUUGUAGUCUGCAACUCGACUACAUGAAGCUGGAAUCGCUAGUAAUCGUAGAUCAGCAUGCUACGGUGAAUACGUUCCCGGGUCU